UUCAAAGAUAAACAAAAUCCAGUUACAACUCCGAACCGCUAGAUGGCAGCAGUACACAAACAAGGGGCCAAAUCUCACGAGAAAGAUUUCCGCUGUUUGAAAAGCAACAACAUCAGCGAGCAGCCAUGAGGAAAGCAUGUACCACACUCGUUUGGUCUUGUGUCAAAGCUGUGCGAAACUGGAGGGAGAAACUUGAGAGACCGUGCCGGAAGAAUGCUGGACAGAGUUCACUAAAAUUCAUUCAUUUUAAAGUUCAACAUGAAUGGUGGUGGUCCACUGCAGAAGCAAGCAUUUGAAAAAACAUCAGUUCUCAGUUAUUAAAGAUGCUGUGUUGAACAACUUCCCAGCAGCAACAGAACUGGAAGUGAAGGAUGCAAUGGGGGCAUUUCAAACAGGCACCAGGGAGCACGGGGGGGGGGGGGAUAGAAAUUAGUACAAUUAAUAAGUUGACGUGAACUGAAGAUAGUUUGUUAAUGUUUAGAUGUUAUUUCAUUUUUAAAAUU
This is a long non-coding RNA of Paramisgurnus dabryanus, 503 nucleotides long. RefSeq lists it as uncharacterized. The record is from RefSeq and is a predicted model, not a curated record. NCBI's taxonomy places the organism in Eukaryota, Metazoa, Chordata, Actinopteri, Cypriniformes, Cobitidae.